GACGAACGCUGGCGGCGUGCCUAAUACAUGCAAGUAGGACGCAGUUGCGAACGGGUGAGUAACGCGUAGGUAACUACCUAUUAGAGGGGGCUAACUAUUGGAAACGAUAGCUAAUACCGCAUACUAGUAGAUGGCCCUGCGUUGUAUUAGCUAGUAGGUAGGGUAAUGGCCUACCUAGGCAACGAUACAUAGCCGACCGGAGAGAGUGAUCGGCCACACUGGGGCGGAGACACGGCCCAGACUCCUACGGAAGGCAGCAGUAGGGAAUCGUCGGCAAUGGGGGGAACCCUGACCGAGCAACGCCGCGUGAGUGAAGAAGGUUUUCGGAUCGUAAGGCUAUGUUGUUAAGGAAGCAGUACGUAACCAGAAAGGGACGGCUAACUACGUGCCAGCAGACGCGGUAAUUC
This 407-nucleotide ribosomal RNA is filed under the name uncultured bacterium. Its description in RNAcentral is "partial 16S ribosomal RNA". It matches the Rfam family "Bacterial small subunit ribosomal RNA", at positions 28 to 526 of the family's 1533-position model. The record is from RNAcentral.